This 253-nucleotide ribosomal RNA is filed under the name uncultured bacterium. Its description in RNAcentral is "partial 16S ribosomal RNA". It matches the Rfam family "Bacterial small subunit ribosomal RNA", at positions 524 to 776 of the family's 1533-position model. The record is from RNAcentral.
UACGUAGGGAGCAAGCGUUGUCCGGAAUCAUUGGGCGUAAAGGGCGCGUAGGCGGCUCAUGAAGGCUGUGGUGAAAGUCCGGGGCUCAACCUCGGAUCGGCCGUGGCGACUCGUGGGCUGGAGCACUGUAGAGGCGGGUGGAAUUCCGGGUGUAGCGGUGGAAUGCGUAGAGAUGUGGAGGAACACCAGUGGCGAAGGCGGCUUUCUGGUCUGUAACUGACGCUGAGGCGCGAAAGCGUGGGGAGCAAACAGG